This 373-nucleotide RNase P RNA is filed under the name Candidatus Eiseniibacteriota bacterium. RNAcentral describes it as "RNase P RNA component class A". It matches the Rfam family "Bacterial RNase P class A". Rfam says of the family: Ribonuclease P (RNase P) is a ubiquitous endoribonuclease, found in archaea, bacteria and eukarya as well as chloroplasts and mitochondria. Its best characterised activity is the generation of mature 5'-ends of tRNAs by cleaving the 5'-leader elements of precursor-tRNAs. Cellular RNase Ps are ribonucleoproteins. Lineage: Bacteria; Candidatus Eiseniibacteriota. The record is from RNAcentral.
UGGAGCCGGUGAAUGGUCGCGGGGUCCUAAAGGGUCCUGAGGAAAGUCCGAGCUCCAAAGGGCAGGGUGCUGGGUAACCCCCAGUGGGAGCGAUCCCAAGGAAAGUGCCACAGAAAAUAUACCGCCUCGCCGGGGUUCGCCCCGGCGUGGUAAGGGUGAAAAGGUGAGGUAAGAGCUCACCAGUACUGGUGGUGACACCGGUAGCUUGGUAAACCCCACUCGGAGCAAGACCAAAUAGGGGAGGAGAGGCGGCCCGUCUCGUAACGACUCCCGGGUAGGUUGCUUGAGGCGGACGGCAACGUUCGUCCUAGAUAAAUGACCAUUCAAGGGCUCGCGCCCUGGACAAAACUCGGCUUAUAGCCGGCUCCAUUCA